Megalobrama amblycephala (Wuchang bream) is the source of this 1019-nucleotide RNA transcript. It is a transcript of the gene named integrin subunit beta 3 binding protein, with no coding region annotated. The record is from RefSeq and is a predicted model, not a curated record. The transcript is spliced from 10 exons. NCBI's taxonomy places the organism in Eukaryota, Metazoa, Chordata, Actinopteri, Cypriniformes, Xenocyprididae.
AACACUCUCCAAUACUUUAACAAGCACAGAUGAGUGUUUCCGGGGAACUAAAUUACUGCCGCACCGCGCCAAACUACAAAUAUAAGCGCCAUUCUGUUUUAUAACUUCAAGAAAGAGAUAUCGACUUCAAGAAGUAUAUAUUUAAAAUGCCUGUGAAGAGAGCUCUUCAGUUAGAAGACAAAGAAAACAGCCCUGCUAAGAGGCAUGCACCAAACAGGAACUAUUCGCCUUUGACUGGAACCCAAUUGACAAAACCUGCAGCAGGUAAUUCCAGAGCAGGUGGGAAGAAAACGAAUCCCCCUCAAACAAAAGAGCCCAUGACAGACGCUGAGAAAAUUUUGUUCCUCAGGUCUAAGGUGAAAAAGUCUCUCAAGGAUCUCAUGAAAUACAGGCAACAGCUGGAAACAUUAUUGCCAGUAGAGGGCAGUAGUGAGCUGAGGAGUCUCUUGCUGAUCAGUCCUGCUGAUCUACAAACUGAACUCAAGAGACAUGAGAAUCUGUCUGCUAAAAUUGCAUCUUGUGCCCAUAGAGCAGACACAAACAAGGGUCAUUUCCAAGAGGCAUUUCAGAUCAUUUGCAUUUAGAUCAUCUGGCUGUGACAGCCGCAGCAGUCUACAAACUCUAGGACUGAUGGGUUGAAACAGACUGGCAGCUCUUAUGAAUUUCUCAAGAAAAUCUUAAGCCGCUGAGGGAUCAUUUCUCGAUGUAGGACAUGGGCGGCAGCUGGUACCCGCUCAAGGUGGAUCACGUAACUCUCUCUUUAUCACUUCUAGAGGCUGUCUGAAGGACAAAAGCUUAAGCUGACCUAACAAAACACACACUUGUCACACACUUUGCAUUGCUACGGUUGAGAAGAACAAGAAUAGCAUCUCAGAAUUCAGCAAUUUGGUCUGUUCGCCAUGGGCUGUUAAAGUCACUGAGUUCAAAAGAGUUUCAAGAUCUGUAACCAAGCACGGCAUGGCCGACAGCAAGAUAUGGUUAUUUAAUAUUGGCGCUGUCUAUUAAAAUUGUAUCAUGCA